Capsicum annuum is the source of this 601-nucleotide long non-coding RNA. RefSeq lists it as uncharacterized. The transcript has 3 exons. The record is from RefSeq and is a predicted model, not a curated record. NCBI's taxonomy places the organism in Eukaryota, Viridiplantae, Streptophyta, Magnoliopsida, Solanales, Solanaceae.
GUCAUGCUCCACCACCACUGGAGCCACAAGGAUAACCAUCUCCAGGGCAGCCAGAACCAGUUGGGUACUACGGUGAGGCACCACAACCCCCAGGAACCCCUAGUUAUCAGGGAUACUUUAAUGAUCAAUACCCACCUCCUGAUCACAUCCACCACGACCAGCCUGAUGAUACAAGUGGCUGUUGUUUCUUUUUAAAGGGCUGGAACAAGUGCACGUGUUUGAAAGUAGCUGUGGAACCUUGGGGAGCAACUGGCUAGAAGGAUUUGCACCGGAGUCGGGCCGAAAUCGCUUUCAAGUUUUGCUACUCUUUGUUGCUGCUGUUUGUUGGAGCAGUGCUGCAGCUACUUCUAAUUGGCUGGUUGCCAUGAGCCUAAAUAUCAUGAGUGUUGUGUUAAAUAUUUUCGAAUGAUGGAGCUGCUUGGUUGAAAUUUUGGGGGACUCGUUAGAUAUUUAACAUGUAUGUAUUGAAACUACUUUAUUAUCUGUACUGCAUCCAUGAUGAUUAUGAAAGCAUAAUUGUAAGGAAUCUAUCUGCAUCAUUAUGGUAAAUUAUUUGUACUUUAAUAGAGAAAGUAAUCCUCAUAGAUUGGUAAUUGCUUAA